GGAGUUUGGACCGUGUCUCAGUUCCAAUGUGGGGGACCUUCCUCUCAGAACCCCUACUGAUCGUCGGCUAGGUGGGCCGUUACCCCGCCUACUAGCUAAUCAGACGCGGGUCCAUCAUACACCGAUAAAUCUUUUCACACUCUAUCAUGCGAUACCGUGCGCUUAUGCGGUAUUAGCAGUCGUUUCCAACUGUUGUCCCCCUGUGUAAGGCAGGUUACCCACGCGUUACUCACCCGUCCGCCACUAAGUCAUCCCAAUUGAUUCUACUUUGAGCAAGCUCUCCAUUUCAUCGGGCGGGACGCUUCGUUCGACUUGCAUGUGUUAAGCACGCCGCCAGCGUUCAUC
This 345-nucleotide ribosomal RNA is filed under the name uncultured Lachnospiraceae bacterium. RNAcentral describes it as "partial 16S ribosomal RNA". Lineage: Bacteria; Bacillati; Bacillota; Clostridia; Lachnospirales; Lachnospiraceae. The record is from RNAcentral.